UUUUUUUUUUUUUUUAAAAACCGCAUUCUUUCCCUGGUCAGGGCAGGUAAAGCAUGUAGGUGGACAAGAGGCUACUUUUAUUUGGGACGUCCAUCAACCCGUUCCCACUAACCAUCUCUUUUCACAGGUGAAACUUACCCCAGAGACAACGAGCUCCCCACCAAGGUUCUGCACCUCAGCCUUGACUUUGCUGCAGAUGUUGAGCUGGUGGCAGUAGAGGGCAAUGCGCUGCAGGUAGGCCAGCAGGUCCUGCUUGCAGGCUGAGUCUGGACACUGAUAGGAGAACAGGCUUUAGCACCAAACACUCAGGCCAGGCCCAGCCCACCCAUCCACAGGCCCUUUGCCAAAGGCUCAGAGUGGCACUAAUGGGCUUCCUCUCCUUGCCAGAGCAAAGGGCACAGCAGUUGCGGUGUCCAUGUCCUGGGGCAGUCACAGCCCUAGGCUGUUCUCUGGGCCCAGGCCUUGCAAGGUGAGAGGGUUUCAGCAAGCAAGAGCCGGGUUCUGGAGUUAAGUCAUGAAGGUUUUGCGCUCGGUAAUAACCAUCCAGAUGACCCUCUGCUCAAAGGCAGUUUCUUGUGCGAUUAUCACAUGUGAUUUUCACCUAAUGAAAGGAAGCUGUGUUUUAAGCAAAGAUGGCGGCUAAGUGAAUACACACAAAGCGAGGAAAAGAGCUCUUGCAGACCACCCGGUCUUGACAAAUAACCUUAAGGGCAGCUGCCACCCAUUUCCUGUCUUGUGGCAAAGCUCAGCGCCCAUUUAGAAGGUUUUACCUGAAGAAAACAACCUCUCAGGUGUUGACAGCAAACAUUUCUUCUUGUAAGGCUGGGUGCAGUGGAAAGGUGGGAUAAAAUGAGGCCCUGUAGACCCAGCUGGAGAUUUUGAUUAUCUAAGAAGUUAUUGAAAAGCAGGGCAGAGCCUCAUCCGACCUAACUGGCAGCCAUGUGGAGAGCAGGGUGGCAGGAGAGAAGCGUGGGAAUGGGAAAUCGGGCAGCAGGCACCGCAGCAGUCCAGGGUCGGCACUGUAGAGGUGUGGGGUGAGCAUCAAGGGACAAAGGCCGGGUGGCUGAGAACACACAGUACUGAGGACAGAAGACUUAUGUCCCCAACGGGGCUUUCCGAGCACUAGCCAAACAAGCUCGUGAUUCUGGUAUGAAGUAAAUCCACUAAAGCUUAUCCAUGCCUUCCACAUGGUAGGACGUGAGGAACCAGCUCCUGCCCAGAGAGGUAAUAAAUAAAGUAGAGACUGGUUCUGUCAGCCAAGGGGAAGGUUCAGGAAACACAUCCUCUCCAGAAACGUGCUCUGAUGCCCACUGGGCUGUGCUCCUACACGUCAGUGAAGAAACAGGAAUUCCGACAUCCUUAAAGUCUAGGCUGCUGUCAAUCAGGCAGGGUAGUGAGUAAGAACAAUAUCGGGGACGAGCAGGAUGCUGUGUCCCAUGGAAAGUCCUGUUCUCGCCACCUCGGAAAUGGCCCACGCGGGGGAUGCCCCAGCCCCACGAUGAAUGUAGUGAGUGACCCACAUGACAAGUCUGUCACUUACAUGGUCUGCGAUGGUACGGCCAAGCUUAUCCAUCCUGGAUCCUGCCUCAGCAAUUUUUUUUGCAGCACUGAUCACAUCUGAUGUAUUUUUCAGUGGUCCUUUACCUCUGGAGGAAAAAAAAAGUUAUACAUGAAAAUCCUUAGGGCUGCAAACGAAUGGGGAAGAGGAUGCACAAAGCAGCCUGGCCCUGCGUGUCUGGGGGCCUGUGGGAGGCAGGCGGCACUCUGUGCAGCGGAGGGGUGGGGGCCACUCACCGAGUGAAGUCGGUCAUCUCCAUCAUAAUCAUGCACAUCUGCUUGGCCAGCACGAUGAUGUCAUUGCCACUGUCGUCCCAUUUGGACACUUCAGCAUCAAGUUUGCUCUUUUCUUCCUGGAAACUGGCCACCUGUUCGGCAAUCUUUGCUUUUUGCUCCUGGGGAAGCUGAGCCAUGAUCGCCUAAAAUCAGAAGCAUAGAAGCUCUUAUGUAAAGAGAGAUGACGUUCUCCCAGCCAAGAUAUUUCCACCAAGCAAUCUAUGACAUAGGCAGGAGAAUGCUUUACUAGGUUUCAUUUUGCCUGAAGGGCCAUUUCUUCUCAUUUUGCACAGAACGGUUCCUGCAGUCUGAAUUCCCGACCCACUUUCAAGAACAAGUUGUGUGUAUGGAGAAAACCGCAUGACAGGCAGCAGCUACUCCCGCGGCUUCGUGCGCAUACCUGCACAGCCACAGAACCUGCCUGGCUUCCUCGUUAAGUUUCAUCCUCUGUCUUCUGCUGUGGGGAGGACUUGACAAGGGGAUCGCAUGGGGGCCCCCCGAAAGGGCAUUUCCUGUGGCUGUAUUAGGUCUCCAACUAUGCAAGGUGAACUAUGAGUGGUUUUAGAAAGUAAAUUUUGAAGAGGGAAGAUAGAAGAGACUCUGAAAAGUAUACAUUUUUGCUCUAGACGGCACUGAAACUUAUCAAAAGCAAUGCCAGGAGACCCGUCACCCACCCUGAGUCCCAGAGUCCAGGCCUCAGGCUCCUCCCCAUUCAGCUUCCUAAAGUGCUUAUGAUUGACGAAGGCCUCAAACAGGGACACACUUGCUGUUCAAAAUGAUUUCUAAGGAGUGAAAAAAGCCUCCUUAGAAAUAUUUCUUGGCAUCCUCCCCAAAGCAUAAAUGCUAUUGAUUAGUGAUUUAAUGACUCAAAUGAAUGCAACAGCUCUGACUGGUUUUCUUGACUGUAGCACUUUUUUUUUUUUUCACCCAUGAAUAAUUAAUAGUUCGUGCCCAUGAUAGCAUUGGGUGGGCAAAGACAGCGAUCUUCUUCUGAAUUUCACAAUCCUUUUAACAAACAUCACAUUGACUAUGUCCUAGGGCUUUCCCGAGGCAGGCCUCUGUGCUAAACUGAAGACCCCGGGCACAGUGGAGGCCGCCCAUGUCCCCGCCCUGCCCCCAGCUGAGGAGACAUUUUGGAGGAACCCACAGAGACUCGCAGGUACCAAAGGCUGCUUUGAGAAGCAACGGGUUCCAGCACAGCCGUAAGCAAGCAAUGGCAGGAAACACCUACUAUGUGCCUGAGCAUAUUACCUAUACUUCUCAUUAAAACCUUAGAAAUGUCCGUUUCUAAGAGAAGAAAACAAGAGUCUCAGAGGUGACUGUCAGCACAGGAAGAACUUUGGAAACACAGGGCAUAGUUCAUUAUGCCAGUCUCCGUGACUUGGAGAUCCUUCCUGCCACAGAUGCGGCCGCUGGGUUGAACUUUGCAUUCAACAGGCAAGGCCCUGGCCAAAUACUGGUUCUUACCACAGCAGCAAGGAUGAAGAAAGCAAAAGAGUUCACCAGCUCCCUGGCUUAACCCAGUAGGUGCAGCUGACCUGUUCCCUGCAGGGACAGCAGCAGCGGAUCCUUGAGUCGUUCUCUCUUCCCACCGCACCCCCAAAGAGUGUGAAUGUUGAAGGUGUUUUUACACUGCACACAAAAUAGUUCCUGCCUGAUGCCGUCACCUCAGAAAUGCCAUUUCCCAGUCACUCGGCUCUGCUGGCCGUUAGGCUGAGGGGGUUACACUUGGGACAGCGUUCCUACUGACCGCAAGAGAUUUGAGUAGCAAAUGUGAAGGUGUAAAAAGAAGUCCCCUGUGUCAGCUAGAUGGACAGAACAGCAAAGCAGCCAUCUCUGCUGCUCCUGCCUGCGCUGCAGGAUGGGGAGGACCUGGGUAUCUAGAUGGUCGGGGGAAAGCGCUGCAUUUGGCCUCCAGGGCAACAAGCUGCUGCUCCUUAGCACAGCAGGUGAGAGGUCAGCUGCUCUGGGGGCACCUGUGAGACCCAGUCUACACCCCUGACGAUGAGGAGAGAGGGUUGGUGGUUUUCAAAACCCCUCUCUGUCCCUCACCCCCGCCAGUUCUCUCAGACUAUGAGAGCUGCUACUCUCAGAGAGGAUGGGUCGCAGGGUCCAGAGCAGCUGCCACUCCAUUCAGCUGUGAACCAGGCGGCAGGGGUGGGGCUGGGUUCUAGCAUCCUGCCUGCUGCCCCUGGGAAGAGAGAUGUGCUCCCGGGGAACAGCAACUUCCGCCUGCACGAGGAUAUGCUCACUUCUCUGAAACUACCGGAAGAGCCUUUCUUUCUGCACUGUACUAGUCACUCAGACAGGAGCCUCGUAUCUGUGGUGAUUGUUUGCCCUCAUUUAAAUCGCCAAGAACAACACUCCUAGCUCCCAUUCUUGGCUGAAGUUUGGGCUCUAACUUGCGACUAACAGUCAUUUUAGACAAAGUAAAUUAAACAUAUCUCAUUCUAACAGCUUUUAGAUUCAUGGUUUUAAUAUACUGCCACUGCAUCUGCUGAGUUCCAGAAUGAUGCAUUGCUAAAGUUUAGCAAAUGAUAAGAAAGGAACGUUAAAAUGUCUGAAAUGCAGUUACUCACCCUUAUCAUCAACACCGCUUUCCUGAUGUCCCGGAUGCCAUCGUAUACCAGGCGGGAGGCGUCGAUAAACUCGUUCUCAUCCAUGGGCUGAGCAGGGUCUGCGCUGAGGGCCUCCACAGCCGCUUCCACUUGCUCAGUAAAACGUGGCAUGACUGCAGAGGAAAAAGCAUCAUCCCAGCGCCACCGCCACCCCCCCCCCCCAAAUCCCUUUCAGACAGAAAGAGGCGAGAUGUAUGAUGCAAGGCCCCUGCUUUUCCCUACAUGAGAUAUAUUUAUGGUUGAAAUAAAUUAAAUGUAUUUUACAAAGACUGGAAUCACAUUCUGAAAUAGGGAUUUGGAUGACUGAGAACUUGAGGUGAAAUUAACCGGACACCUUGUGUAAGGGUGUGGGACCUUCCUUAAUUAGUAUCCACUAAUAGGAGACUUAACGCAGAAGUUCAUCUUAAAUAGUAUGUUCUGAUUUAUUCCCACCAUUAAUCAUAGGGCACACAUGAGGGAAAUUAAGUCUGUGAAGACUUAAUUUAACUCUCGAGAGUGAUGCAUCCCCAGAACCCUGAAGACCUGAGCUGAGUCCUGAAUGUCUUACUUCCUAACCACAAGUUUUUGGAUAACAGGAAGGCGGGAGGGGAAAGGGAGGUCACACACCUGUGUUGGAGAGCAGCUUGGUGGCUUCCAGCACUUUCUCUGUGUAGACCCCUGGCUCAUAGUUGUCCAUCUCUGAGGUGACUACAUGGAUGACCCGAGCUGCCCGUCCUCGAAUGGCGCCAGCCGUGCGGUCCAGCCCAUCUACAUCCUUCUCUUGGAGAGCAAUGACACAUUUGUUCACGUCUUCCAAAAUGUGAUUCUCUGAAGAAUAAGCAAAAUGAGCAGUGAAAAAGGAGGCCUCUCACUAGAAGGGAUCAUUGUAAGUUGGCAUCUAUUAGUUUCCGAUUGUUCAGUUAGUACCAGCUUCAAUGCUAAAAACUUAACACAUACCAUUUUGCUUUAAAGACCAGAUUAACUUUCAGUGAUCACCUCCAAGAACAACAAUGUUCAGUCCAGGUUUGAGAGAAAGACAACCAUCUUGAAGGCACAGUUGAUUCUGUACCUAGAGCAGAAAAUCCAGUCUAUAGAAACCUUAAGUUCCCUUUCCCUUCAAUAAUUUCACGAGCUUAUGUCCCAAACAAAGGCUAACAUAGAACAAAAGUCCACUAUAAGUCUUUAUCCUCAGAGUCCCUUGCCCCCUCUGCCAGUACAUGCUAACAGUGUUGUCACUAUCUACCAAGAACACGCACAGUCUUGGGACUGUUGGGAGGUGCUGGAAAGCAAGCUGAAAUCCUCUGGAGAGCGCUGAAAGCCCACCUGAGGUGAAAACGCUCGAUAACCUUGUGGGAGGCAGGUGGGCCUGUUGUGAUAAUGGCACAAAUCGUAAGCAGUGCCUACCAAUCACAGCUUACAUUUGGAGGACCCACCAAAACUAUUCUUCCUGGAAACAAGCCUGACACCGAAUUUCAGGAAUCGCAGGGUAAGGAGCUCACUUCAACCUUCAUCUAUAAUAGCAAAGUGGGAGCAAGCACAAUGUCCAAGAGCAAAGUAGGUAAUAAAUUAUGGGCUCUACACAGGCGCUAAAAUGGAUGAGGUCGAUCUAUAGGGGCAGACCCAGAAUGGGAAAGGGAAUGUUCUCACUCACCCAGAACUGCAGAGCCUACCAGCAAAAAAUGUAGCAACUCUUAAAAGCAGUGUCUGUUAAAGACAUGUUCACUCAUUUAAACCAAGGGAGUACCUGGCACAACUGCUGAAAGACUAAUGGUCCUCGAUCUUCUGGAAAAGCCAGACAAUUAGGGAAAAUGUAGGCAAAACAUAUCUGGUCUUUGUGUCUUUUUUUUUUUUUUUUUUAAGAUUUAUUUUAUUUAUACAAGCACUGGGUUCAGUCAGAAGUGAGGGAGGGUGAGACAAUUCACC
This is a long non-coding RNA of Talpa occidentalis (Iberian mole), 6353 nucleotides long. RefSeq lists it as uncharacterized. The transcript is spliced from 4 exons. NCBI's taxonomy places the organism in Eukaryota, Metazoa, Chordata, Mammalia, Eulipotyphla, Talpidae. The record is from RefSeq and is a predicted model, not a curated record.